GACGAACGCUGGCGGCGUGGAUUAGGCAUGCAAGUCGAACGGUAGGAUACCUUCGGGUAUCUGAGAGUGGCGAACGGGUGAGUAACACGUAGGUGAUCUACCCUCAAGAUUGGGACAACCCAGGGAAACUUGGGCUAAUACCGGAUGAAAGCAGCAGUGAUGUUGUUUGAAAGGUGGCGUAAGCUGCCGUUUGGGGAUGAGCCUGCGCUCUAUUAGUUAGUUGGCGGGGUAAAGGCCCACCAAGGCGAUGAUAGAUAGGCGGCCUUAACGGGUGGUCGCCCACACUGGGAUUGAGAUACGGCCCAGACUCCUACGGGAGGCAGCAGUCGAGAAUAGUCUACAAUGGCCGAAAGGCUGAUAGUGCGACGCCGCGUGAACGAAGAAGCCCUUCGGGUGUAAAGUCUUUUAUAUGUGAGCAGUGCUUUCUAUGUGAACAGCAUGGGAGAGAGAUAUUAGCAUAUGAAUAAGCAACGGCUAACUCCGUGCCAGCA
RNAcentral lists this ribosomal RNA (491 nucleotides) under uncultured bacterium. RNAcentral describes it as "bacterial SSU rRNA". It matches the Rfam family "Bacterial small subunit ribosomal RNA", at positions 28 to 513 of the family's 1533-position model. The record is from RNAcentral.